CACUCUACAUGCUCCAGGGGACCAAGCAUGGACACAGCUGGGAAAUGCCACCUGGACUGAGCCCCCCCAAAGAAUAUGCAAGAGCUCCGUAAGCUAAACAAAAACUCCACAAAACAUUGCAUAUUUCACUAGAAACAGUUUUGCUGUUGCUGGUUCUGCCUUCACCUCCACUGCAAUUUAGUGAUCCAUAAAGAUGUUGAGGACACUCACAUCCUUUAAAUGCACCCCGCUGAGUGGCCCUAAUGAAGUCAGUGGGAGCACCAGUCUAUGCCAAUCGAGAGUACUUACAAACAAACAAAACCCCUCCGAGGUCAUCUCCUGAUGUUCAAGGACAGAAAGUUUGCUAACAGUAGACCAUGAGAGGCCUCUCUGAAGAAUAAGGAAGAAGAAUUAAAGAAAAAAAGAUAGGCUGAUGUCAACUUUUCCGUCUCCUCAGAUGGCACAGUGAGAAGCAGGAACAGAGAGCAGACCGGACAACAGGCCAAAUAAAGUUGUUCUUCUGGCUUGGGUGGUGCUGGCACCAAGCCCAGAUCUCAUUCUCCUGACAUCUCCUUUCUGUCCUAUGACAUCUUU
Molecule: long non-coding RNA, 573 nt
Organism: Lepidothrix coronata (blue-crowned manakin)
Lineage: Eukaryota; Metazoa; Chordata; Aves; Passeriformes; Pipridae
Exons: 4
Source: RefSeq, a predicted model, not a curated record